UGGGGAAUCUUGCCCAAUGGGCGAAAGCCUGAGGCAGCAACGCCGCGUGUGGGAUGACGGCCUUCGGGUUGUAAACCACUUUCAGCAGGGACGAAAUUGACGGUACCUGCAGAAGAAGCUCCGGCCAACUACGUGCCAGCAGCCGCGGUAAUACGUAGGGAGCGAGCGUUGUCCGGAUUUAUUGGGCGUAAAGCGCGCGUAGGCGGUUUGAUAAGCCGGGUGUGAAAACCUCCAAGCUCAACUUGGAGCGGCCACUCGGAACUGUCAUGACUUGAGUCAGGUAGGGGAACACGGAAUUCCAGGUGUAGCGGUGAAAUGCUUAGAUAUCUGGAGGAACACCAGUGGCGAAGGCGGUGUUCUGGGCCUGUACUGACGCUGAUGCGCGAAAGCGUGGGGAGCGAACAGGAUUAGAUACCC
This 417-nucleotide ribosomal RNA is filed under the name uncultured bacterium. RNAcentral's name for it is "bacterial SSU rRNA". It matches the Rfam family "Bacterial small subunit ribosomal RNA", at positions 355 to 787 of the family's 1533-position model. The record is from RNAcentral.